Phacochoerus africanus (Common warthog) is the source of this 807-nucleotide RNA transcript. It is a transcript of the gene named cytochrome c oxidase subunit 2-like, with no coding region annotated. Lineage: Eukaryota; Metazoa; Chordata; Mammalia; Artiodactyla; Suidae. The record is from RefSeq and is a predicted model, not a curated record. The transcript has a single exon.
GUAUUAGUAAAAUAUUACAUAACUUUGUCAAAGUUAUAUUAUAGGUGAAAGCCCUGUAUAUCUCCAUGGCUUAUCCCUUUCAACUAGGCUUUCAAGACGCCACUUCACCCAUCAUAGAGGAACUCCUACAUUUUCACGACCACACCCUGAUAAUUGUAUUCUUAAUUAGCUCCUUAGUACUAUAUAUUAUUUCACUCAUACUAACAACAAAACUGACACACACUAGCACGAUAGAUGCCCAAGAAGUAGAAACAAUUUGAACAAUCUUACAGACCAUUAUUUUGAUUUUAAUUGCCCUGCCUUCUCUACGAAUUCUAUAUAUAAUAGAUGAAAUUAAUAACCCAUCCUUAACCAUAAAAAUAACAGGGCAUCACUGAUACUGAAGCUAUGAAUAUACAGACUAUGAAGACCUUACCUUUGACUCAUACAUAAUCCCCACAUCCGGCCUGAAACCCAGAGAGAUACAACUACUAGAAAUGGACAAUUGAGUAGUCUUACCAAUAGAGAUGACAAUUUGAAUGCUGGCCUCUUCUGAGGAUGUAUUGCACUCAUGAGCCGUCCCAUCUCUCGGCCUAAAAACAGAUGCUAUCCCAGGACGAUUAAAUCAAACAACCUUAAUAUCUACACGACCCGGUCUUUAUUACGGACAAUGCUCAGAGAUCUGUGGAUCAAACCACAGUUUUAUACCCAUUGUACUCGAAUUAGUCCCACUAAAAUACUUCGAAAAAUGGUCAACAUCAAUACUAACAGGUUCAUUGAGAAGCUAGUCAGCACUAACCUUUUAAGUUAGAGAUCGGGAGCUUAAUC